GUUUUGGCGCCCAUACCGGACGGGGUAUGGGGACGGCCCUGGAAACUGAUUAUGAAUGUUAAAGGUUAACGGGUAGCGGAGCCCCUAUGGACCCCCACGGAUACUAGUAGGCUGGUAAAUGAGAAAAGGAUAUGUUGUACAAUGAUUGAAUUACAAGAGGCGUGAUAAGUGUUAUGUUUUACAGCUUAGAUUAUUCAAUGAUUAUGAUGAUGUUAUUGUUUUUCUCAUAUUGUUUUCAUAAAUUCCACCAAGGUAAGUGGAUGGUAAAAGUUU
Molecule: long non-coding RNA, 273 nt
Filed under: Carica papaya (papaya)
Lineage: Eukaryota; Viridiplantae; Streptophyta; Magnoliopsida; Brassicales; Caricaceae
Description: long non-coding RNA (CPAP_LNC014423)
Source: RNAcentral